AUUGAACGCUGGCGGAAUGCUUUACACAUGCAAGUCGAACGGUAGAGGGGGCAACCCCUCGAGAGUGGCGAACGGGUGAGUAAUAUAUCGGAACGUGCCCAGUCGUGGGGGAUAACGUAGCGAAAGUUACGCUAAUACCGCAUACGAUCUACGGAUGAAAGCGGGGGAUCGCAAGACCUCGCGCGAUUGGAGCGGCCGAUAUCAGAUUAGGUAGUUGGUGGGGUAAAGGCUCACCAAGCCAACGAUCUGUAGCCGGUCUGAGAGGACGACCAGCCACACUGGAAAUGAGACACGGUCCAGACUCCUACGGGAGGCAGCAGUGGGGAAUUUUGGGCAAUGGACGCAAGUCUGAUCCAGCCAUUCCGCGUGCAGGAUGAAGGCCCUCGGGUUGUAAACUGCUUUUGUACGGAACGAAAAGGUUUCCAUUAAUACUGGGAGCUCAUGACGGUACCGUAAGAAUAAGCACCGGCUAACUACGUGCCAGCCGCCGCCGUAA
RNAcentral lists this ribosomal RNA (496 nucleotides) under uncultured bacterium. RNAcentral describes it as "partial 16S ribosomal RNA". It matches the Rfam family "Bacterial small subunit ribosomal RNA", at positions 30 to 523 of the family's 1533-position model. The record is from RNAcentral.